GGAGUGGUGAGAAUAAAAAAUGGGGUCCCAUGCAGGAACAUCAGCUCAGCAGCACCAAGGGACAUGGAGGCUUAGGGAGGACAGGCUGGCACCACCAGGACCACCUCCAAAGACCCAGUAGCCUCCCGUUGCCCUUUCUGCAAGGAAGGUCGGAGUGGCCCUACAGCAACUGAUCCCCUUUUGCCCUGACGCUGUUUUCCUGCCAAAGGAGUGCACUGGGCUUGCCCCCUGCAGGGGUGCAGAUCCCCAGGAGGGCAGCAAGAGCUUCAAGUCCUUGUGCUCCUGCAGUCCCGCCUCUGCCCUUGUCUGUUGUCCUGGAGUGAGGGAGGGACUGGGAGGGCUGGGAGUGAGGGCAGGGCUAGGGGUGCAGGCAGGGCAGCUGUGGGCAGAGCUCUCCUGCAGGCAGAGGGUAGGGGGAGGGAGACAGGAGAGAGCAGGGCUGGCCAUGGGGGCUGCCAUGUGCGUGGGGUUCUUGCCCAUCGUAGUCACUGGCCAGGCAGUCUUGGAGCAGCUCAUCAGGGAAGUGGCUGUGCGAGAGGGAGAUGGAGUCACCUUCCAGUGUAGCAUGAGUGGGGACGGGAUGAGCCACUACAACAUGUUCUGGUACCAGCUGGGGCCACGUGGUAAUCUGGACGUUAUUUCCCGGAAUGAUGUUGCCUACGGAAAAGGUUUCCAGGAUCGCUUUAAGAGUUCAGUGGAGGUUGUCCAGAACAGAUUCACACUGGAGAUCAAGGCAGCAAAGCAAGGGGAUCAAGCAGUUUAUUACUGUGCUGCUGGUCUCACCUUGGUGCAGCUCUGCAGCAGAGCGGACCAAAAACUGACUGAGAGAGAAUACAGAUGUGGCAGCAUUUCUUUCUAA
Cuculus canorus (common cuckoo) is the source of this 859-nucleotide non-coding RNA. Lineage: Eukaryota; Metazoa; Chordata; Aves; Cuculiformes; Cuculidae. The record is from the annotation of a RefSeq genome assembly.